CCAACUCCCAUUGAACAAAAUCACAAAUUGACAGCACAGAUGGGUGAACAAGUUAACAAAGCAAAAUAUCAACAAUUGGUUGGCAAACUUCUAUACUUGUGUCACACUAGACCAGAUAUUACAUAUGCAGUAAGUGUAGUAAGUAGAUAUAUGCAUGACCCCAGAAGUGGACACCUUGAUGCAGUCUAUAGAAUCAUGAGGUAUCUAAAGGGCAGCCCUGGUAUGGGACUCUGGUUCAAGAGUAAUGGCCAUUUGAAUGUUGACGGUUAUAGCGAUGCUGAUUGGGCUAGCUGUCUUGAUGAUAGACGAUCAACCUCUGGCUAUUGUGUGUUUGUUGGUGGAAAUUUGGUAUCAUGGAGAAGCAAAAAACAACCGGUG
RNAcentral lists this ribosomal RNA (378 nucleotides) under Triticum aestivum (bread wheat). RNAcentral describes it as "partial small subunit ribosomal RNA". The record is from RNAcentral. Lineage: Eukaryota; Viridiplantae; Streptophyta; Magnoliopsida; Poales; Poaceae.